RNA transcript from Corvus hawaiiensis (hawaiian crow), 6161 nucleotides. RefSeq lists it as uncharacterized. The transcript is spliced from 7 exons. The record is from RefSeq and is a predicted model, not a curated record. NCBI's taxonomy places the organism in Eukaryota, Metazoa, Chordata, Aves, Passeriformes, Corvidae.
GGGAGGGGAACUUCGGCCCUUCUGCAGCCAGGGAGCCCGGAGCGGGGGACGGGGAACUACAGACCCCCGGCCCGCAGAUUGUGCUGUUCCGCUGCAGCGUCGGGAGCGGGGUCGGGGCAGGAUGCGACAAUCGGAAGGGGGUGGUGGAGAGGUGGGAGGAAUCACCAAUCGGGUGCCCCCCUCCCUGCCCCUGUCGGUGGAGAAACAGUGAAGGAAUGGGGUUAUUGACCUAAUCCUGUCUUCUGCUGGUAGUGUGGAUGGAACCGGGCCCCUGGGAUGGAUUGGGAUGGAUGGAUGGAUGGAUGGACGGACGGACAGACAAUGGAGCAGGGCACUGGGGCAGCUGCAAGGAAUGAAUGGCUGUGCUGGAGCUGCGUCUGCACCCCAGCCUUCCACAUCAGUUCCCUGGCCUCUGCUGGAGAACGUGGGGGUUUCGUUGGCCGGUGGCAGAGUCUCCUCAGCAGCCAGGGAAAAGGGUUACUGGUACCAGUGUCCCUCAAGAACACUUUGCCCUCACUAUUUGCAGUGCCAGAGUGAAAACACACCAUGGUCUGUCUGGCCCAGCAAACCCUGCCGAGCCUUGUAGAAGUCCUAUCCUCCCCUAUAGGCUCCUUUGUGCCUUGCCACAGACAGCAUGAAAACGCGCUUUGUUCCAGCCUGGGGGUGACCCUGCCAUGCGACGUCAGGGAUUGAGCUGGAGCUUCAGCCACGGACCAGGGUGGCCACCAUCACCCAUAACUGUGGUCUUCUUUCAGAGGUGGAAGAGCUUUAGCUGCUUUGCUAAAAUGGAGAAAAAGAAGCAUGUGUAGUAUCAUGGUGUGGUGAGCAAAACAAGAACAUGUUUCGAAUGCACCUAUGCUGACAUGCAGGAACGUUUCCUCAAGUCCAACAACCACCAUUAAAAUUGUGGCUGGUGUUCCUGGAACCACAUCCACUGGUUCAUCCUCAGCCAAGGACUCUGUUCCUUCACUGUGCUCCUCAGGACCCAGAGCCUUUCUCAAUCUCUGAGAAAGUGAGAGCACUGCCACAAAGGUGACCAAGUCUUGCUGGAAAGGAGCAGGAGGAAUAAAGUCCAAAACUGAGGAGUGCAGCAAUUUGUGAGGACAGAAGUCCCCUGGAUGUCACACCUUGGAAGAGUGCUUGGCUGAACCUAUGAAGUAAUAAAAAAGGAGCAGCACUGUCUCAACAACACUGAAGGGGGGUAAGCAACUAAAUGAAAAUCCACAUUCUUAGAACAAGCUCUAUUCUCUGCUGGGUGAAACUCUAAACUAUGACCCAGCAGCUGUUGGAAAUCUUUUCCCCUCACUGCCUUAAAAUUAACUUGCACUUUUCCCUCGUAAGCUAUGUCCCAGACAUCCGUUUUCCAUUUAAUUAUUGGACUGUAGGAUGAAUACUGGUUGUGAUUAUAGCUAAAUAUUUGUGGAUGCGACCUGCAAAUAAACAGUUUUUAUUAUUUCUUAUCUAUAGUUUCUCUACAACAUGCCAGAGAAAAAAUAUUAGUAAAAGCAUAGACAGAGGAAGGUAUGCAUUCCAGGCUUGUACUCAGCAUGGGGAACAACUACCCCCAUGUUGAAGGGGGGAAAAAAAAGUAAUUAAUUUUUCUAAAAACAUUACAGAUGGAUGCCAAAUUCUUGAGGAAAUUGGGCUACAAUCAGUGCCUUUAUAUAAGGCAGCAGGAAUUAGUCCAGUGGAGCAGAGAGUAAUUUGAUUCUUCCCUUGAUGGAGAUUACCAGAAAUAGAACAUUUCAUGAGAGCUAUUGGCAACUCAAACACUUUCCUCUAAUUUAAAUAAUUAAAUUAAUUUCUCUAAUUCAUGCUAGUCCAGCCUGCACUUAAGAAGCAGCAAGGGCAGCUUUGCAGGUCAUACCACGCUAGACUGACUGUCCCUUUUUAACAGACACAGUUAUGGGAUAGUCAUGUGCAUGAAAAACUAAGACAAACUGACGAUGGUCAAGGGACUUGCUUUGCAUUCUCCUGCUAAAGAGCUGCUCCAGCUGCUCCCUGAGCAAGGGCUCUUCUCAGCCUCAGCUCCUGUGUCACCACCACAAUGAUCCCCUCUCAGUACAACACCUAAAAAGCCAAAUACCUACCAAGGGUGCAGAGCCAGAAAGGGGCUUUGCAUGCUCAGCUUCAUAAAUAUAAUAAUCCAGGGGUAGAAAGAAGUAUCCUGGAGCUGGCUCGUUGCACUGGCGGCUCACGAUGUUGGGCAGACACUCGCACUGACCAUCCUUUGGUGAGCACCUAUGGGAGGAGUUGGUAAAGGGAGGACAUCAGUGUGGCACAGUGGGGUCCUCACAGCAUGAAGGCAGCUCCAACCCACCCUUGUUCCACCUUUGCUUAAUCUCAUUGCUGGAUUGCCUCCAUUACUAAACUUCUUCCUAUCACCCAUCUCCUCUGUUUCUGAUGCUGGAUUUAUUCAAUGCUACUUUUCCAUGACUUCAGAGUCCAUGACUUGCUUUAUCUUUGUCUGUUGCGUACCUGAAGCACUGAUCCUUUUGUUUCCUGAGCAUCUGUUACUGUAUUCCUGUAUCAUUUAUCUUUUUCUAUAAGAAUCAUUGUAUCACGGUUCUUAAUAAUCUGUCACCCACAAAUAUCAAGGCAGGACAUGAGAUCAGAAGGACCUUUGAUGUGAUAUGGAAUGUUUUCAUAUACUUACACUCAUAUUUAACACACCAGGUGAUUUACCUGCUCACAAAGAGCUGCUCUACAGCAUGGGACUGUGUGCUCCUAUGUCUGAAGUCUAACAGCAGUAGUGAAGAUCCCUGCCCAACAGAUUUCCAAAGGAGCCCAACUGAAACCGAUCUUGCUUCUAAAAUUACACAUUUUAAAUAGGAGCUAGAAAAAAAAAUUCUCACAUUUAAGGUAGAUGUAGGAAGCUAAGUUAAAAAUGACACCUCUAACUUCUAAUUUCUAAUAAUAUUAGGGUCUCUGGUUCUGUCAAGGCAUACAUUUUGUAUUUUAUAUUAAACACAUCUUGGUUCAACCUGAUCCAAAGUUGGCUUCAAAGGAAAUAGUUAAAUCCCCAUAUCACAAAUAAAUUUCCAAAAUCUCCACCCAACUUUACAUUGUUUGUAUAUGAUGAAAUUCCAUCUACAUUCUAUUUUCCCAUCUGCACUGUGACUGUAUUAACCUAACCAGAAAAUCUAGCCUAAGAGUUUAUAAAAAUUAAAACCAAGAAAGAACUUGAAGAACUUUAACUUACAAGUUAUUCUGGGAUCCACCAAUAUCACAGCCACAUGGAGAACAGCCAUACAAGCUGUUGCCAAGACCCCAGUAUCCUACCUGGUACAAAAAGAAAGAUUCUUUUAUGGCAAAUAUUUAAGUAUGCAAACCAAAGCAAAACAAAACUCGUUCUGCUGAAUGAACAAUGCUCUCCACCACUGUGCUUGGCAAUGGGAGACUGCUUCUCUUACCAGAUAGCAGGGGUGCUCAGCCACUGCAAGAGCCAGAUAUUUACCCACUUGUGCAAGCAAAUAGCUCUGUAAACAGCAAAGAUGGACCAGGGACGUAAUUUUGCAUUUCCUUUUCUUCCUGGGAGUGCUCCUUCCACUGCAAUUUGAUUGCAUAAAUGUUUGGGAGCAGUGAAAGAGAAGCAGAUAUGUCAAUGCAAAAUGGGAGCAUACAGCUGUAAAAUUUUUUCGAAUUUUGACUAAUUGUUUACUUUUAUGGCAAGGAAAAGGUGUGGGAUGGGUGAGGAGACUUCCAAAAUCACAUGCAGAAGCAAAACCAAAAACUGAGUACAUACAAGGCAUUUUUCACAGUGUUGCCCUGUGGUGAACUUCUGGCAGAGGCACUCUCCUGUGGCAGGAUCACAGAUGGAGAAGGGCAAACUGCCCAAGGGAUCACAGUUGCAGGCUGCAGGGACAGAAAUGUGCAGUUACCUAUGCAGGCCCCAGUGACAGCAGCAGGACUGGCAUUUAUGUUAGAUGAGGCAUCAGCAUGACAGGCAGUCUCCACCCUCCACACAGACAUUCUGCAGAUGAACGUGCCCUGGCACCCUCCAGCCCUCAGACUGCCCUUGGAAAAUGAACAAUUUCCUCAGUGGGUUCCUCUCUGGGGGGACCAGAGGCAUUGGCAGAAAGUCCUCUGCAGUGGUUUGCCAAGUGCUGUGUGCUGAUAUGCACUGCAGUCCUUGUGUGUGGCUGAGCACCUGGUAUGGGCAUAACGUGCUUACAAACCCACAGUGCACCUGGGCAGGAGUGGGAUGUGUUUUUCAGCAAGCUUCUCUCAGAGGAAUGGUUGGCUGGAAGUUCUCUUGGCAAGGCAGAGGUCCUGUCAUCUCAAUCUCCCUUUUCAAUUAAAUUGCAUAUUUAAUAACCCUUCUAUUAACAACAGCCUGAUCUGUUAUAUUAUAUUAUGCAUUCUGAAAGUGAUUUUGCAUUGUUUCACUCUUGGAUGCUGUGCCAGAAACCUUGAAUUACAUUGACAUUAAAUUACAGUAGGCAACUGGGUAUUUUGUGACUCAGUAGAGCAUUAGUGUGUGGAUCUGUGCAUUCAACUACCUCCAUGCCUUAAAAAUGCUUUGGAAAGAGGACUAGAAGAAGUGGUUUACGUACGCUGGCAGCCCAGGGGGUCGCUGCUGCUCAGCCCGUAGUAGUUUGCCCUGCACUUGUCACAGCGAGCGCCCUCCACAUUUUCCUUGCAGGGGCACCGGCCCGCGACCGUCCCCAGCGUGGGAUCCGUGUGGCUCUCGCACACGCCCUCGUGCAAGGUGCCCUCGGGGUCACAGUUGCAUGCUACAGGCAGGGUCAAGGAGACACAUUAAAAAAGCUCGUCUAGAUGUAAGCAUGAAAAUGCAAUUACAGAGCUGCUGGUAAUCUGCCCUUUGCUCCUUAAGGACUUUUCAUGUCAAUCAAUUGCUACAAUUAAAUUACAGAGUAUUUUCUCCAUCCUGUGUUAAUAAUGAAUUUAGGUCAUCUUUCAGAAGAAGAGCUUUCCUGUCUGAAAGACUAUUUUUCUUGCAUAUAGCAGGUAUCUAGCAAAAGUUACUUACUCCUCCCAUCAUUUUGCACCCUCUUCUGUAAUCCCUGAAGGUCACAGAAGCAACAUCACUACUGAUAUUCAUAUUUAUAUUGACAUUGUUCAAGAAAGACGAUAGCUCUGUUGGAUUUCUAAGCUCAGUUUAGCAAGGAGUUGGAAUAUGCAGCUCUUUUUAGAAUGCUGGUUCGAGGAUAUUGUCAUGCAGUGACUUUGUAAAGCAGUUUGGAUGUUACAGGUACGGUAACAUUUUUACAACCAUGUGGACAUUUAAGCAUGGGGCUGGCUGUAGGGCUCAGAGCAAAGAGAACCAUAACAACUCUGUUUUGAGUCAUUUUUACAGAAGUUAAAAAGGGAAGCUUACGGAGGCACGCCUGAGGAUCUGAGAUGACUUUGAGUGGAUCCUGGUAAAAGAAACGUUUGCACUUGUCACAGUGUUGCCCAGUGGUGUUGUCCUGACAGUCCUCACAAACGCCACCGCUGACCCCACCGCUGGCCUGGUACACGGCCAUGUCAAAGUGGCAUCUGCUGGAGUGGCUGUUGCAGUUACAACCUGAAACCAAAACAAAUGGGGUAUUUCAUACCAUGCCAAUAUUGUGGUCUGGCUACCACUGCUGUCUACACUUAACACAGAGUUACUGGUUACUUGUAUCAUUUCAGUGCCCAGCAAGAUUAUUCCCAGGCCUUGUGUGUUACAACUGGGAGAAAACAUUGGAGUCUUAGGACAGAACUGUGUCCUAAACUUGGAAAUGCAGGUGAGUGUGCCUGAUAUGCAGUGGGGAACACUGCUCUGCUGAAGAAAGCUCUAGCUGAAUAUUUAUUACAGACCCUAAUACAUUAUUUUCGUGUAUACUACAUUACUCAUUAUUGUGGAAAUAAGUAAUUUAGCCUUGUCUAAAUUCUUUUACUCACAUGAAAAACUCUGUGCAAACCCAUGAAUGAUCUUUUUUGCAUUAGCUGCUUUUUCCUCUCCUUACUGUUUUUUUUCUCUGCCUGAAGAAUAAGAACAUGAAACAGCUCUUCCUCUUGUAGGAUAACACAGCACCUAUGGAUGCAGCAAUCUGUUUUUCUGGAUGAGGCAUGAAAAAGUCUCCCUCUCAGAAACCUGGCCAUCCCAUUAUGAAUUGAACUAGGAUUGUGCUACACCCACCCCCUGCUAUUAAAAAGGAAAAUAGCAUGUUUGA